ACUGCGUUAAGUGCGUAAUCUUGCAGAAAUUUUCCAAGGAACAAUAAUAGAAGACAGCGACGACAGAAAUAAGUCGGGAGAGGUGAUCGAAGCAAAAAAAGUCUUUCGUGGACUGUAACAACCGACGGAAGAAAAAGAUUUGUGCUGCAAUCUAUAUAUAUAAAUUCCAAAUACCACUGACUCACUGAUCGCUGUAUCUCAAAAACUACUUAACGUACGCACUUGAAAUUUAAAAUAGAAGAUCCUCUGUC
Cinara cedri is the source of this 251-nucleotide non-coding RNA. NCBI's taxonomy places the organism in Eukaryota, Metazoa, Arthropoda, Insecta, Hemiptera, Aphididae. The record is from the annotation of a GenBank genome assembly.